Molecule: ribosomal RNA, 250 nt
Filed under: uncultured bacterium
Lineage: Bacteria
Description: partial 16S ribosomal RNA
Rfam family: Bacterial small subunit ribosomal RNA
Source: RNAcentral
UACGUAGGUGGCGAGCGUUGUCCGGAUUUACUGGGCGUAAAGGGCGUGCAGGCGGUCUGUUAAGUCUAGGGUGAAAGCUCCCGGCUCAACUGGGAGAGGUCCUUGGAUACUGGCGGACUUGAGGGAGGCAGAGGAAAGUAGAAUUCCCGGUGUAGUGGUGAUAUGCGUAGAUAUCGGGAGGAAUACCAGUGGCGAAGGCGGCUUUCUGGGCCUUACCUGACGCUGAGACGCGAAAGCGUGGGGAGCGAAC